Molecule: transfer RNA, 71 nt
Filed under: Alosa alosa (allis shad)
Lineage: Eukaryota; Metazoa; Chordata; Actinopteri; Clupeiformes; Clupeidae
Description: tRNA-OTHER
Source: RNAcentral
GCAGCAGUGGCCUACUGGUUAGGGCUUCGGACUUGUAACCGGAGAGUUACCGGUUCGAACCCCGACCAGUA